This 822-nucleotide long non-coding RNA is filed under the name Panax ginseng (ginseng). RNAcentral's name for it is "long non-coding RNA (PGIN_LNC009401)". Lineage: Eukaryota; Viridiplantae; Streptophyta; Magnoliopsida; Apiales; Araliaceae. The record is from RNAcentral.
GCAAGGGAAGGAUUCUUCAUUCAUAUUCAAGUUAAUGGUGACUUUUAUAAGAAAAUAGCCCAGUAAUUGAAGUUGUGAUAGAACCCAUAGAUGAAAAGCAAUGAACAAUUUCAGUCUAUAGGUAGUAAGCAUCAUCCAAAUAAUCUAGGUCUCUAUUUGGGGGUCUCAAGAUAAAUCUUACAAGAAGGUAAAACAAACCAGAUACAAAGAAUAUAAUAGCCUAUAUGAUAAUUAAUGAUUAGAAGUAUACUCGGACUUUCCUUGUUGUUCAAACUAAAACCAUCAUUAUCUGUUUGAAAAUUGGAUAAGGGAGAUGGUGGUGGCAGAGGAAAAUAUAAUGGUUGUUGCGAUGUAGAAUCUAUGUCAACAUCUAGCAGUUUUUGAACUCCCUCACUGAUCCUUGGGAACUUAAUUGCCUUCCCCAUUGCUGCCGCCGCUGCUGCUGCAACCUUAUUCUAAUUCCUCCACCUCCUUUGACACCAAACCCUAGCCCAAAUUUCUAAUACAAAAUUUUCAUUUAGAACGAGAGAGAGAAAGAAAGAAAAAAUAAAGAAAGUAGGAAGAUUGCAAAAUUUUCAUUCAGAACCUUAACUACCAAUUGGGAGUGAAGAAUUAGAAACGGCUUUGCCCUCUUUUGCAAUUUUUUUUUGGUAGAAUUAAGAAAUUGAGGGUAGAUCACAAUCACCUUUCUACAAAUCGGCAUUGAGAUGGUAGAUCAGCAGUGGCACAAAGAGGAGAGAGGACUGCCUUCAACAAUGGGUUGUAAAACGAGGAAUUAGAGAGUUUGAAACAAAACUGGGUAACGAGGGAUUUGAGCUCGAC